This 230-nucleotide ribosomal RNA is filed under the name uncultured bacterium. Its description in RNAcentral is "partial 16S ribosomal RNA". It matches the Rfam family "Bacterial small subunit ribosomal RNA", at positions 563 to 791 of the family's 1533-position model. The record is from RNAcentral.
AAGGGAGCGUAUGCGGCUGAUUAAGUCAGCGGUGAAAGGUAGCAGCUUAACUGUUUUACAUGCCGUUGAUACUGGUUAGCUUGAGUUGACAGAAGGCAGAUAGAAUUCCUGGUGUAGCGGUGAAAUGCUUAGAUACCAGGAGGAAUACCGAUUGCGAAGGCAGUCUGCUGCAGUCACACUGACGCUGAGGCUCGAAGGUGCGGGGAUCAAACAGGAUUAGAUACCCCAGU